GUCGCCUUGUGCAGAAUUCCAUCUCUGUGAUCACAUCAAUGGUGGCUAUAUGGGGAAGUACUACUUGUGAUGCUUUGCGACCCUGUUCCUGAGAGCCACCGCCGCGAAGUCCUCCUCCUGCCUCUGCUCGAGCAUGGCCUUCGACAUGGGGUAUUGCCGGAGCUGGAGGGUGGUCAAUGCAUUGGGUGCGUGGAGGACUACAUGCUCCGAGGCCAAUACAGCAGGUAUCUUGACACCGUCAUCGACCAGAUCUUUAUCUACCUUAAUGGGAUCGUCACGACCGACGACGGCAUGGAUGCGUGGAUCGUCGAAGUCGACGGCACCUGCUUGUUCAACCUUGUAUGCUACAAGGACAAACACUUUGGCGGAGACUCGUUUGAUCCCUUGGCGCUCAAGAUCUGGGCUCUGAGAGUGGUUCGUCCCGCGAUUCAAAGUCUUCCUUGUCACAGGAAGAUGAUAUGAAGAGGUGUGCGGUCCAUCAAAGUUGGGGAAUUGCUUGUGCAGGGGUUCAUAGGACAUGAGAGGUUGAGCAUGAGGUAAUGCAUGGAUUAUUAAUCUUCAAUGCAAAACACAUCGUGCACUCGAUCUACUGAGUGAACAGCUAAAAUGACUGUUUAUAAGAGGACACUGAACUAAUUCCAAAUCUUUAGUCCUUUGUUCUUGUUCUUUAACCUUGAUCUGUAUUAAUGCACAUACCGAUAUCUGUAUUUUAUGCAGCGAAUAGGAUUGGAUCAUAAGAUCAUAGUAUUAAUAAUAUGUCUAUGAGCUGGGCUAGCUGACAUUGUUAUUAUUAUUAUUAUUAUUAUUUAUUAUUAUUAUUUGAUUA
Molecule: long non-coding RNA, 826 nt
Organism: Musa acuminata AAA Group (dessert banana)
Lineage: Eukaryota; Viridiplantae; Streptophyta; Magnoliopsida; Zingiberales; Musaceae
Exons: 2
Source: RefSeq, a predicted model, not a curated record